GUUUGACUUUCUCUCUUUUGUCCAUAGUUCUUGGAUGCCUUUUUACAAACUAUCCUGAACUAGACGGUUGAGCAGAGAAUCGACCAAUUUUUUAGUUUGCUUGAUUCUGGUUGUACUAGUUUGUGGAAGAAAAAGAGGCCUUCAACCAGUCGGUUGCUGCAAGUACAGAAUCACAAGGCUAACACCGGUGACAAAUCAUUUGAUUUAACAGCUUCAGUAGAUGAUGUUCGUGAAGAUGUGAAAGCGACUAAAGCGAAUCCAACAAUAUCUGAGAGUGAAAACCAGUUGAAAGAGAAGUUUCAAAUAGAUCUGAUGAUGGGGCAUUCUGCUGCUGUAUGGGAAUUUAGAGUAGCAACUAAGCUUACAAAGGACUGGAAUGGAAUUGAUCAAGUUGUACUUCGGACGCCAUACAAGGUGGUUCGGCACGGAUCCUGCUGCCGCAGCUGCUUCUUAGGACAACAAGGUAACUACUAGAAAUACUCUGUUUAUUUUAUCAUGAUUUUGAUUGUAUUGGUUUGUUAUUGUAUAGGCGCUGAUCGUCGGCUAUUUGAUGCAUUUAUUCUGGCAAUAAACAAGGCUCUAAUUGUGCUAAUUUUGAGUUACACCAAGCGAGUAGGCUCCAGCAAAACUCCCAAGCAGUACCAGUCUGGGUGAACGACGACAUCGAUUCCAACGAUUUCGGCAACACCGACGGGAACUCGUAAGAGAAGCGCUUUGGUGGAAAUACUUGAUAACACGAUUCCAUACUGAUAUUUGAUAGAGAGCCAUUAGGUCUGUGUCGGUUGGUAGAGCAGUACUUGAUAACACUGAUGUUGCAGUUAAGGCCUUAAGACCAGACAUAACUCAAGGGGAGAAGCAAUUUCAUCAAGAGGUAACUUCUUUUGCAAGAUACAAGAGGCAUAAAAUUUCUGGUUUUAACAAAUAUGUUUUUUUUGUCGAUAUAAGUAUAUACCAGUUAUAUACAGAAUUAAUGUGAUUUGAUUUUGUACGGUAGGACUUGUAGUCCUGUACU
Vicia villosa (hairy vetch) is the source of this 1012-nucleotide long non-coding RNA. RefSeq lists it as uncharacterized. The transcript is spliced from 5 exons. The record is from RefSeq and is a predicted model, not a curated record. NCBI's taxonomy places the organism in Eukaryota, Viridiplantae, Streptophyta, Magnoliopsida, Fabales, Fabaceae.